Molecule: unclassified non-coding RNA, 344 nt
Filed under: uncultured fungus
Lineage: Eukaryota; Fungi
Description: sequence contains ITS1
Rfam family: 5.8S ribosomal RNA (bases 1-97)
Source: RNAcentral
GAAAUGCGAUACGCAAUGCGAAUUGCAGAAUCCGCGAGUCAUCAGAUCUUUGAACGCAAUUGGCGCCGAUCGUAUCGGCAUGUUUGUUUCAGUGUGGAAGGAAUCACAAAUCAUAAUGCGAUUGAAAAAUUUAUUUUUCUCUCGUUAAACACGUCCGGUGUCUGUGAGAAUAUCAUGGGAACACCCACGAACGAAGUAGUCUCAUUUAUGAGAUCUCGUUUGUAAAGGGUAAAAUAAAAAUCUCUGUAUUCACUAAAAGCAGGCUCCAAACAAAAACUAAAAAAAAGUAAAAUUUUUUUUCUCUCUUACACCUGAAAUCAAGCAAGACGACCCGCUGAACUUAA